Molecule: long non-coding RNA, 1059 nt
Organism: Populus euphratica (Euphrates poplar)
Lineage: Eukaryota; Viridiplantae; Streptophyta; Magnoliopsida; Malpighiales; Salicaceae
Exons: 2
Source: RefSeq, a predicted model, not a curated record
CCUUUGACCUCUGUCGUGCCAAUCCCAAAAAUAUGUGGGAGGGUUUUUUUUCUGGGUGUUGUACGUAGGGGGGCAUUUUUGUUUUUGUUCUCUUAUCCAACCUCUAUCCAACUGUUUGCAGGCGUAGUUCCUUUGAGCAUCCUUGUAUCGUCUGAUGAGGCCAAACGCAACUUCUCUCCUUGCGGAGAAUCAGAAGGGCUUGUUUUUAAGAGGAAGGAGGAAGGCAAGAAGCUGUGAAUGGCAUGUCUGCAUAUAUGGAAUUAUCUGACAAUAUUAAUAUGAUAAUCAUGAUUGACAUGUAUUCAGAAAGAGAUUAAGAAGAUAAUAACUGGAGGUUUCCAUGUUGAUGAUAUAUCAUUACAUUACCAUAUGAUUUUUCAUAUCAGUGAAGCGGUGAUCUUGAAGGAGAUCCUUGCAAGUUCACAGGAUUAUCACCAUAAGCCUGGCAUGAGGAGCAGAAAGAAAAAUGUAGCCAAGAACAACCUGCCAACGGAUUCAUCUCUUGUUAAUUAUGCGUAUAUUGAUGGAAGCACAAACAAGUCGUCGGCAAGUCAUCCUUGGCUGCAUCAAUCUUUAUGAUCCUCCAUGCAAGGCUGUUACAGUGAGACCACAGCAACUGAAGCAAGAAACAGGGACACUUUGCUUUGCAGACGUAGAAGGAGAGCUGGGAAGGAUGGGAAGAUAGAGGAAAAAGAUGGGACGAGAUUUUAAGGGAGCUUAUGAGCCUUAAAUACAAAUGAAGGGGCCACGAGCUGCAAUUUGUGAUAAAAUACACUGCAGUAUUUUGUGCCUAUUUAUCUGCUACCGAGGCAAUUGGGACAGCUCUUGCAAGAGGAUAUAGUUUUGGCCCCAGCUGGAUGAAGUAACAGAGGUCCUUUCUUUCAUUCUUUCGUUGCCAUUGAAUUAGUAGACUAAUCAUGAACUAAUCUUAUUAGCAAGCAACUAGUCAUUGAUUAAAGAAUGCAUGUUACACGAGGGGUUCUUUAAUCUGUGGAAAAGACCUGUUACUCCAGUAUGAGAAUUCAGAUUCAAGUCAUGUCAUUUGAUUGAUAUCUUGGA